UACAGAGGGGGCAAGCGUUGUUCGGAAUUACUGGGCGUAAAGGGCGCGUAGGCGGCCUUUCAAGUCAGACGUGAAAUCCCCCGGCUUAACCUGGGAACUGCGUCUGAUACUGGGAGGCUCGAGUAUGGGAGAGGGAUGUAGAAGUCCAGGUGUAGCGGUGAAAUGCGUAGAUAUCUGGAGGAAUACCGGUGGCGAAGGCGGCAUCCUGGACCAUAACUGACGCUGAGGCGCGAAAGCUAGGGGAGCAAACGGG
This 253-nucleotide ribosomal RNA is filed under the name uncultured bacterium. RNAcentral describes it as "partial 16S ribosomal RNA". It matches the Rfam family "Bacterial small subunit ribosomal RNA", at positions 524 to 776 of the family's 1533-position model. The record is from RNAcentral.